Ceratotherium simum simum (southern white rhinoceros) is the source of this 406-nucleotide non-coding RNA. The record is from RefSeq and is a predicted model, not a curated record. NCBI's taxonomy places the organism in Eukaryota, Metazoa, Chordata, Mammalia, Perissodactyla, Rhinocerotidae.
CUUCCAGCCCCUUCUCUUUGGACUGAUUGGAGCAGAGGUAUCUAUUGUAUCUCUCAGACCAGAAACUGUAGGCCUUUGUGUUGCCACCCUGGGCAUUGCAGUAUUGAUACAAAUUUUGGCUACAUUUCUGAUGGUGUGUUUUGCUGGUUUUAACGUAAAGGAAAAGAUAUUUAUUUCUUUUGCAUGGCUUCCAAAAGCCACAGUCCAGGCUGCAAUAGGAUCUGUGGCUUUGGACACAGGGAGGUCACAUGGAGAGAAACAGUUAGAAGAAUACGGAAUGGAUGUGUUGACAGUGGCAUUUUUGUCCAUCCUCAUCACAGCCCCAGUUGGAAGUCUCCUCAUUGGUUGGCUGGGUCCCAGGCUUCUCCAGAAAGCUGAACAUCAAAAGAAUGAUGAAGAAGUUCAA